RNAcentral lists this unclassified non-coding RNA (75 nucleotides) under Pseudomonas antarctica. Lineage: Bacteria; Pseudomonadati; Pseudomonadota; Gammaproteobacteria; Pseudomonadales; Pseudomonadaceae. The record is from RNAcentral.
AUAGGUUCCGCUCUUACAGCGGGUCACUUUUGGAAAAGAGCCCAAAAAGUAACCCGCUGUAAGAGCGGAACCAUA